AGCGAACGCUGGCGGCAGGCCUAACACAUGCAAGUCGAACGGAUCCUUCGGGAUUAGUGGCGGACGGGUGAGUAACACGUGGGAACGUGCCCUUUGGUUCGGAACAACUCAGGGAAACUUGAGCUAAUACCGGAUGUGCCCUUCGGGGGAAAGGUUUAUCGCCAUUGGAGCGGCCCGCGUCUGAUUAGCUAGUUGGUGAGGUAAAGGCUCACCAAGGCGACGAUCAGUAGCUGGUCUGAGAGGAUGAUCAGCCACAUUGGGACUGAGACCCGGCCCAAACUCCUACGGGAAGCAGCAGGGGGGAAUCUUGCGCAAUGGGCGUAGGCCUGACGCAGCCAUGCCGCGUGAAUGAUGAAGGUUUUAGGAUUGUAAAAUUCUUUCACCGGGGACGAUAAUGACGGUACCCGGAGAAGAAGCCCCGGCUAACUUCGUGCCAGCAGCCGCCGUAA
RNAcentral lists this ribosomal RNA (449 nucleotides) under uncultured bacterium. RNAcentral's name for it is "partial 16S ribosomal RNA". It matches the Rfam family "Bacterial small subunit ribosomal RNA", at positions 29 to 523 of the family's 1533-position model. The record is from RNAcentral.